GUCAAACGGAUCCGGAUCCGUCUGAAAAAUGCAUUGAAAUACAGGAUCAGUCUCUCCAGUGUCAGCCGGAAAAACGGAUUCCGGUAUUAUUUUUUUCACAUUUUUAAAGGUCUGCCCAUGCGCAGACUGGAA
Molecule: long non-coding RNA, 132 nt
Organism: Bufo bufo (common toad)
Lineage: Eukaryota; Metazoa; Chordata; Amphibia; Anura; Bufonidae
Exons: 3
Source: RefSeq, a predicted model, not a curated record